RNAcentral lists this ribosomal RNA (250 nucleotides) under uncultured bacterium. RNAcentral describes it as "partial 16S ribosomal RNA". It matches the Rfam family "Bacterial small subunit ribosomal RNA", at positions 524 to 773 of the family's 1533-position model. The record is from RNAcentral.
UACGGAGGGAGCUAGCGUUGUUCGGAAUUACUGGGCGUAAAGCGCACGUAGGCGGUUUUUCAAGUCAGGGGUGAAAGCCCGGAGCUCAACUCCGGAAUUGCCCUUGAAACUGGAUGACUGGAAUCUUGGAGAGGUCAGUGGAAUUCCGAGUGUAGAGGUGAAAUUCGUAGAUAUUCGGAAGAACACCAGUGGCGAAGGCGACUGACUGGACAAGUAUUGACGCUGAGGUGCGAAAGCGUGGGGAGCAAAC